RNAcentral lists this ribosomal RNA (404 nucleotides) under Actinomycetes bacterium. RNAcentral describes it as "Actinobacteria bacterium partial 16S ribosomal RNA". It matches the Rfam family "Bacterial small subunit ribosomal RNA", at positions 355 to 776 of the family's 1533-position model. Lineage: Bacteria; Bacillati; Actinomycetota; Actinomycetes. The record is from RNAcentral.
UGGGGAAUAUUGGACAAUGGGCGCAAGCCUGAUCCAGCCAUGCCGCGUGAGUGAUGAAGGCCCUAGGGUUGUAAAGCUCUUUCACCGGUGAAGAUAAUGACGGUAACCGGAGAAGAAGCCCCGGCUAACUUCGUGCCAGCAGCCGCGGUAAUACGAAGGGAGCUAGCGUUGUUCGGAUUUACUGGGCGUAAAGCGCACGUAGGCGGACUAUUAAGUCAGGGGUGAAAUCCCGGGGCUCAACCCCGGAACUGCCUUUGAUACUGGUAGUCUUGAGUUCGAGAGAGGUGAGUGGAAUUCCGAGUGUAGAGGUGAAAUUCGUAGAUAUUCGGAGGAACACCAGUGGCGAAGGCGGCUCACUGGCUCGAUACUGACGCUGAGGUGCGAAAGCGUGGGGAGCAAACAGG